Molecule: ribosomal RNA, 584 nt
Filed under: uncultured bacterium
Lineage: Bacteria
Description: bacterial SSU rRNA
Rfam family: Bacterial small subunit ribosomal RNA
Source: RNAcentral
CCUACGGGAGGCAGCAGUGGGGAAUUUUGGACAAUGGGCGCAAGCCUGAUCCAGCAAUGCCGCGUGUGUGAAGAAGGCCUUCGGGUUGUAAAGCACUUUUGUCCGGAAAGAAAACUUCCUGGUUAAUACCCGGGGAGGAUGACGGUACCGGAAGAAUAAGCACCGGCUAACUACGUGCCAGCAGCCGCGGUAAUACGUAGGGUGCAAGCGUUAAUCGGAAUUACUGGGCGUAAAGCGUGCGCAGGCGGUUCGUUAAGACAGAUGUGAAAUCCCCGGGCUUAACCUGGGAACUGCAUUUGUGACUGGCGGACUGGAGUAUGGCAGAGGGGGGUAGAAUUCCACGUGUAGCAGUGAAAUGCGUAGAGAUGUGGAGGAAUACCGAUGGCGAAGGCAGCCCCCUGGGCCAAUACUGACGCUCAUGCACGAAAGCGUGGGGAGCAAACAGGAUUAGAUACCCUGGUAGUCCACGCCCUAAACGAUGUCAACUGGUUGUCGGGUCUUCAUUGACUUGGUAACGUAGCUAACGCGUGAAGUUGACCGCCUGGGGAUACGGUCGCAAGAUUAAAACUCAAAUGAAUUGACGG